GAUGAACGCUGGCGGCGUGCCUAAUACAUGCAAGUCGAGCGAACGGACGAGAAGCUUGCUUCUCUGAUGUUAGCGGCGGACGGGUGAGUAACACGUGGAUAACCUACCUAUAAGACUGGGAUAACUUCGGGAAACCGGAGCUAAUACCGGAUAAUAUUUUGAACCGCAUGGUUCAAAAGUGAAAGACGGUCUUGCUGUCACUUAUAGAUGGAUCCGCGCUGCAUUAGCUAGUUGGUAAGGUAACGGCUUACCAAGGCAACGAUGCAUAGCCGACCUGAGAGGGUGAUCGGCCAAACUGGAACUGAGACACGGUCCAGACUACUACGGGAGGCAGCAGUAGGGAAACUUCCGCAAUGGGCGAAAGCCUGACGGGGCAACGCCGCGUGAGUGAUGAAGGUCUUCGGAUCGUAAAACUCUGUUAUUAGGGAAGAACAUAUGUGUAAGUAACUGUGCACAUCUUGACGGUACCUAAUCAGAAAGCCACGGCUAAAUACGUG
This 497-nucleotide ribosomal RNA is filed under the name uncultured bacterium. RNAcentral describes it as "partial 16S ribosomal RNA". It matches the Rfam family "Bacterial small subunit ribosomal RNA", at positions 28 to 507 of the family's 1533-position model. The record is from RNAcentral.